GUUGUAUGGUUAAGUGACUAAGCGUACACGGUGGAUGCCUUGGCAGUCAGAGGCGAUGAAAGACGUAGUAACUUGCGAUAAGCCCAGAUUAGGUAGUAACAACCAUUUGAGUCUGGGAUUUCUGAAUGGGGAAACCCACGUGCAUAAGCACGUAUCCUUCACCUGAAUACAUAGGGUAAGGAGGCGAACCGGGGGAACUGAAACAUCUAAGUACCCCGAGGAAAAGAAAUCAACCGAGAUUCCGAAAGUAGCGGCGAGCGAAAUUGGACUAGCCCUUAAGCUUUACACGCGUUAGACGAACGGUCUGGAAAGUCCGACGAUACAGGGUGAUAGUCCCGUAGUUGACGACGUGUGUUCAGUGAAAUCGAGUAAGGCGGGACACGUGAUAUCCUGUCUGAAUAUGGGGGGACCAUCCUCCAAGGCUAAAUACUACUGACUGACCGAUAGUGAACCAGUACCGUGAGGGAAAGGCGAAAAGAACCCCUGUGAGGGGAGUGAAAUAGAACCUGAAACCGUGUACGUACAAGCAGUAGGAGCAGGCUUGUCCUGUGACUGCGUACCUUUUGUAUAAUGGGUCAGCGACUUAUAUUCAGUGGCAAGGUUAACCAUCUAGGGGAGCCGUAGGGAAACCGAGUCUUAACUGGGCGUUCAGUCUCUGGAUAUAGACCCGAAACCAGGUGAUCUAGCCAUGGGCAGGUUGAAGGUUGAGUAACAUCAACUGGAGGACCGAACCGACUAAUGUUGAAAAAUUAGCGGAUGACUUGUGGCUAGGGGUGAAAGGCCAAUCAAACCUGGAGAUAGCUGGUUCUCCCCGAAAGCUAUUUAGGUAGCGCCUCGGACGAAUACUACUGGGGGUAGAGCACUGUUAAGGCUAGGGGGUCAUCCCGACUUACCAACCCUUUGCAAACUCCGAAUACCAGUAAGUACUAUCCGGGAGACACACGGCGGGUGCUAACGUCCGUCGUGGAGAGGGAAACAACCCAGACCGCCAGCUAAGGUCCCAAAUUACUACUAAGUGGGAAACGAUGUGGGAAGGCUCAGACAGCCAGGAUGUUGGCUUAGAAGCAGCCAUCAUUUAAAGAAAGCGUAAUAGCUCACUGGUCGAGUCGGCCUGCGCGGAAGAUGUAACGGGGCUAAGUAGUAAACCGAAGCUGCGGCAAUAUACUUUUGUAUAUUGGGUAGGGGAGCGUUCUGUAAGCGGUUGAAGGUGUGUGGUAACGCAUGCUGGACGUAUCAGAAGUGCGAAUGCUGACAUGAGUAACGAUAAAGGGGGUGAAAAACCUCCUCGCCGGAAGACCAAGGGUUCCUGUCCAACGUUAAUCGGGGCAGGGUAAGUCGACCCCUAAGGCGAGGCCGAAAGGCGUAGUCGAUGGGAAACGGGUUAAUAUUCCCGUACUUCUUACAAUUGCGAUGGGGGGACGGAGAAGGCUAGGUGGGCCUGGCGACGGUUGUCCAGGUUCAAGUGCGUAGGCUUAAGAGUUAGGUAAAUCCGGCUCUUUUUAAGGCUGAGACACGACGUCGAGCUACUACGGUAGUGAAGUCAUUGAUGCCAUGCUUCCAGGAAAAGCCUCUAAGCUUCAGAUUGUAAGGAAUCGUACCCCAAACCGACACAGGUGGUCGGGUAGAGAAUACCAAGGCGCUUGAGAGAACUCGGGUGAAGGAACUAGGCAAAAUGGUACCGUAACUUCGGGAGAAGGUACGCUCUCGACGGUGAAGUCCCUCGCGGAUGGAGCUAUUGAGAGUCGCAGAUACCAGGUGGCUGCAACUGUUUAUUAAAAACACAGCACUGUGCAAAAUCGUAAGAUGACGUAUACGGUGUGACGCCUGCCCGGUGCCGGAAGGUUAAUUGAUGGGGUUAGACUUCGGUCGAAGCUCUUGAUCGAAGCCCCGGUAAACGGCGGCCGUAACUAUAACGGUCCUAAGGUAGCGAAAUUCCUUGUCGGGUAAGUUCCGACCUGCACGAAUGGCGUAAUGAUGGCCACGCUGUCUCCACCCGAGACUCAGUGAAAUUGAAAUCGCUGUGAAGAUGCAGUGUACCCGCGGCUAGACGGAAAGACCCCGUGAACCUUUACUACAGCUUGGCACUGAACAUUGACCCUACAUGUGUAGGAUAGGUGGGAGGCUUUGAAGCACGUACGCCAGUAUGUGUGGAGCCGUCCUUGAAAUACCACCCUUGUAGUGUUGAUGUUCUAACGUCGACCCCUUAUCGGGGUUGCGGACAGUGCCUGGUGGGUAGUUUGACUGGGGCGGUCUCCUCCCAAAGAGUAACGGAGGAGCACGAAGGUGGGCUAAUCACGGUUGGACAUCGUGAGGUUAGUGCAAUGGCAUAAGCCCGCUUGACUGCGAGAAUGACAAUUCGAGCAGGUGCGAAAGCAGGUCAUAGUGAUCCGGUGGUUCUGAAUGGAAGGGCCAUCGCUCAACGGAUAAAAGGUACUCCGGGGAUAACAGGCUGAUACCGCCCAAGAGUUCAUAUCGACGGCGGUGUUUGGCACCUCGAUGUCGGCUCAUCACAUCCUGGGGCUGAAGUCGGUCCCAAGGGUAUGGCUGUUCGCCAUUUAAAGUGGUACGCGAGCUGGGUUUAGAACGUCGUGAGACAGUUCGGUCCCUAUCUGCCGUGGGCGUUGGAAGAUUGAAGGGGGCUGCUCCUAGUACGAGAGGACCGGAGUGGACGAACCUCUGGUGUUCGGGUUGUGUCGCCAGACGCAUUGCCCGGUAGCUAAGUUCGGAAUCGAUAACCGCUGAAAGCAUCUAAGCGGGAAGCGAGCCCUGAGAUGAGUCUUCCCUGAUACUUUAAGUAUCCUAAAGGGUUGUCGGAGACUACGACGUUGAUAGGUCAGGUGUGUAAGUGCUGUGAGGCAUUGAGCUAACUGAUACUAAUUGCCCGUGAGGCUUAACCAUACAACACCCAAGGGGUUU
Molecule: ribosomal RNA, 2916 nt
Filed under: Vibrio parahaemolyticus
Lineage: Bacteria; Pseudomonadati; Pseudomonadota; Gammaproteobacteria; Vibrionales; Vibrionaceae
Description: bacterial LSU rRNA
Rfam family: Bacterial large subunit ribosomal RNA
Source: RNAcentral